This 292-nucleotide ribosomal RNA is filed under the name uncultured bacterium. RNAcentral's name for it is "partial 16S ribosomal RNA". It matches the Rfam family "Bacterial small subunit ribosomal RNA", at positions 505 to 796 of the family's 1533-position model. The record is from RNAcentral.
GUGCCAGCAGCCGCGGUAAUACAGAGGGGGCAAGCGUUGUCCGGAAUUACUGGGCGUACAGCGCGCGCAGGCGGUUGCCGACGUGCCGUGUGACAAACGGGGGCUCAACCCCCGAGGGCCACGGUAAACGGGGCGACUGGAGGUAGGGAGAGGGAUGUGGAAUGCCCGGUGGAGCGGUGAAAUGCGUAGAGAUCGGGCGGAACACCAGCGGCGAAGGCGGCAUCCUGGCCCUAUCCUGACGCUGAGGCGCGAGAGCGUGGGGAGCAAACCGGAUUAGAUACCCCGGUAGUCC